CUACGGCAGGCUGCAGUGGGGAAUAUUGGACAAUGGGCGAAAGCCUGAUCCAGCCAUGCCGCGUGUGUGAAGAAGGCCUUCGGGUUGUAAAGCACUUUCAGUGGGGAAGAAAGCCUUGGGGCUAAUACCCUCGAGGAAGGACAUCACCCACAGAAGAAGCACCGGCUAACUCCGUGCCAGCAGCCGCGGUAAUACGGAGGGUGCGAGCGUUAAUCGGAAUUACUGGGCGUAAAGCGCGCGUAGGCGGUCUGAUAAGCCGGUUGUGAAAGCCCCGGGCUCAACCUGGGAACGGCAUCCGGAACUGUCAGGCUAGAGUGCAGGAGAGGAAGGUAGAAUUCCCGGUGUAGCGGUGAAAUGCGUAGAGAUCGGGAGGAAUACCAGUGGCGAAGGCGGCCUUCUGGACUGACACUGACGCUGAGGUGCGAAAGCGUGGGUAGCAAACAGGAUUAGAUACCCUUGUAGUC
RNAcentral lists this ribosomal RNA (464 nucleotides) under Vreelandella stevensii. RNAcentral describes it as "partial 16S ribosomal RNA". It matches the Rfam family "Bacterial small subunit ribosomal RNA", at positions 339 to 795 of the family's 1533-position model. The record is from RNAcentral. Lineage: Bacteria; Pseudomonadati; Pseudomonadota; Gammaproteobacteria; Oceanospirillales; Halomonadaceae.